UGUAAGAAAGUGGAGUCGCGGAUGGUGAA
Molecule: non-coding RNA, 29 nt
Filed under: Rattus norvegicus (Norway rat)
Lineage: Eukaryota; Metazoa; Chordata; Mammalia; Rodentia; Muridae
Source: RNAcentral